UACAGAGGUCCCAAGCGUUGUUCGGAUUUACUGGGCGUAAAGGGUGCGUAGGUGGUUUGUUAAGUCAGGGGUGAAAUCCCGCGGCCCAACCGUGGAACUGCCUUUGAUACUGGCGAACUUGAGUGCGUGAGGGGUAGGGGGAACGAGCAGUGUAGCGGUGAAAUGCGUAGAUAUUGCUCGGAAGGCCAGAGCCGAAGGGGCCCUACUGGUGCGCAACUGACACUGAGGCACGAAAGCGUGGGGAGCAAACAGG
RNAcentral lists this ribosomal RNA (253 nucleotides) under uncultured bacterium. Its description in RNAcentral is "partial 16S ribosomal RNA". It matches the Rfam family "Bacterial small subunit ribosomal RNA", at positions 524 to 776 of the family's 1533-position model. The record is from RNAcentral.